GGAUUAGAUACCCUGGUAGUCCACGCCGUAAACGAUGAGAACUAGAUGUCGGGAGGGUUGCCUUUCGGUGUCGCAGCUAACGCAUUAAGUUCUCCGCCUGGGGAGUACGGUCGCAAGACUGAAACUCAAAGGAAUUGACGGGGACCCGCACAAGCGGUGGAGCAUGUGGUUUAAUUCGAUGCAACGCGAAGAACCUUACCUGCCCUUGACAUACAGCGAACUUUCCAGAGAUGGAUUGGUGCCUUCGGGAACGCUGAUACAGGUGCUGCAUGGCUGUCGUCAGCUCGUGCCG
This 292-nucleotide ribosomal RNA is filed under the name uncultured bacterium. RNAcentral's name for it is "partial 16S ribosomal RNA". It matches the Rfam family "Bacterial small subunit ribosomal RNA", at positions 775 to 1067 of the family's 1533-position model. The record is from RNAcentral.